GUAACGGCGAGUGAAGCGGUAACAGCUCAAAUUUGAAAUCUGGCUCCUCGGGGCCCGAAUUGUAAUUUGUAGAAGAUGCUUUGGGUCUGGGCCUGGCCUAAGUUCCUUGGAACAGGACGUCGUAGAGGGUGAGAAUCCCGUAUGCGGCUGGCGCCCGUGCCCGUGUAAAGCUCUUUCAACGAGUCGAGUUGUUUGGGAAUGCAGCUCUAAAUGGGUGGUAAAUUUCAUCUAAAGCUAAAUAUUGGCCAGAGACCGAUAGCGCACAAGUAGAGUGAUCGAAAGAUGAAAAGCACUUUGGAAAGAGAGUUAAACAGUACGUGAAAUUGUUGAAAGGGAAGCGCUGGCAACCAGACUUGGGCGCUGUUGAUCCGCUAGGGUUCUCUCUAGGGCACUCGGCAGUGCGCAGGCCAGCAUCGGUUUGGGGGGUUGGAGAAUGGCUGGUGGAAUGUGGCUGUCUUUGGGCAGUGUUAUAGCCACCGGUGGCAUGCAGCCUCCCCGGACCGAGGACCGCGCUUCGGCUAGGAUGCUGGCGUAAUGGUUGUCAGCGACCCGUCUUGAAACACGGACCAAGGAGUCUAACAUCUAUGCGAGUGUUUGGGUGUUAAACCCAUACGCGGAAUGAAAGUGAACGUAGGUGAGAACCCGCAAGGGUGCAUCAUCGACCGAUCCUGAUGUCUUCGGAUGGAUUUGAGUAAGAGCAUAGCUGUUGGGACCCGAAAGAUGGUGAACUAUGCCUGAAUAGGGUGAAGCCAGAGGAAACUCUGGUGGAGGCUCGCAGCGGUUCUGACGUGCAAAUCGAUCGUCAAAUUUGGGUAUAGGGGCG
Molecule: ribosomal RNA, 823 nt
Filed under: Podosphaera euphorbiae-hirtae
Lineage: Eukaryota; Fungi; Ascomycota; Leotiomycetes; Helotiales; Erysiphaceae
Description: eukaryotic LSU rRNA
Rfam family: Eukaryotic large subunit ribosomal RNA
Source: RNAcentral